GAUGAACGCUAGCUACAGGCUUAACACAUGCAAGUCGAGGGGAAACGAUAUUGGAAGCUUGCUUCCGAUAGGUGUCGACCGGCGCACGGGUGAGUAACGCGUAUCCAACCUGCCCGUCACUUGGGAAUAACCUUGCGAAAGUAAGACUAAUGCCCAAUGACAUUUAUAGAAGGCAUCGGAAAUGAAUUAAAGAUUUAUCGGUGAUGGAUGGGGAUGCGUCUGAUUAGCUUGUUGGCGGGGUAACGGCCCACCAAGGCAACGAUCAGUAGGGGUUCUGAGAGGAAGGUCCCCCACAUUGGAACUGAGACACGGUCCAAACUCCUACGGGAGGCAGCAGUGAGGAAUAUUGGUCAAUGGGCGAGAGCCUGAACCAGCCAAGUAGCGUGCAGGAUGACGGCCCUAUGGGUUGUAAACUGCUUUUAUAAGGGAUAAAGUGAGUCUCGUGAGACUUUUUGCAUGUACCUUAUGAAUAAGGACCGGCUAAUUCCGUGCCAGCAGCCG
Molecule: ribosomal RNA, 501 nt
Filed under: uncultured bacterium
Lineage: Bacteria
Description: bacterial SSU rRNA
Rfam family: Bacterial small subunit ribosomal RNA
Source: RNAcentral